GGUGCAGCGUUGGAACGAGUGUCACGGAGGUAGAGCUACCGAUAGGGCUAGGGGGUUUCACCACCUACCAACCACUGACGAACUCCGAAUGCCGUGACAUAUGUCCAGCAGUGAGGCGGUGGGUGCUAAGGUCCAUCGCCGAGAGGGGAACAACCCAGACCAUCAGCUAAGGUCCCUAAAUAUGCGUUAAGUUGAAUUAAACGAAGUGGAGAUGCUAUGACAGCUAGGAUGUUGGCUUGGAAGCAGCCAUUCAUUUAAAGAGUGCGUAACAGCUCACUAGUCGAGCGUUUCUGCGCGGAAAAUGAUCGGGCAUCAAACGCAUUACCGAAGCUAUGGUGGCGCCAAAAGCGCCAGGUAGGGGAGCAUUCCAGCGACAGCGAAGCUAUAUCGUGAGAUGUGGUGGAGUUUCUGGAAAAGAAAAUGUAGGCAUAAGUAACGAUAAUCCCGGUGAGAAACCGGGACGCCGUAAGAAUAAGGUUUCCUAGAUCUAUGCUAAUCAGAUCAGGGUUAGUCGGGUCCUAAGGUGUAGCCGAAAGGCGAAGCCGAUGGAAAGCCGGUUAAUAUUCCGGCACCUGUGUUUAUUGCGAUGGGGUGACGAAGCAGCGUAAAGCCCGCCAACUUACGGAAUAGUUGGUUGAAGUGCGUAGGCGUCGAUCCGGUAGGAAAAUCCGCCGGUGAGUCGAAACACGAUAGUACACGGAUCCCUCCGGGGUGAAGUGAUAGUGGCUCCAAGCAUACUUCCAAGAAAAACCCCUAAGCUUCAGAUAAAUACAGCCCGUACCGCAAACCGACACAGGUAUUCGAGGAGAGUAUCCUCAGGCGCUCGAGUGAGUCAUGGCUAAGGAACUAGGCAAAUUAGUCUCGUAACUUCGGGAAAAGAGACCCCCGUCGCAAGACGGGGCGCAGAGAAAUGGCCCAGGCGACUGUUUAACAAAAACACAGGACUCUGCAAAAUCGAAAGAUGACGUAUAGGGUCUGACACCUGCCCGGUGCUGGAAGGUUAAGGAAGGAGCUCAGCGCAAGCAAAGGUUCUGACUGAAGCCCCAGUAAACGGCGGCCGUAACUAUAACGGUCCUAAGGUAGCGAAAUUCCUUGUCGGGUAAGUUCCGACCUGCACGAAUGGUGUAACGAUCUGGGCACUGUCUCAGCCAUGAGCUCGGUGAAAUUGAAGUAUCGGUGAAGAUGCCGGUUACCCGCCACGGGACGAAAAGACCCCGUGCACCUUUACUAUAGCUUCACAUUGUGCUUGAAUAUAAGAUGUGUAGGAUAGGUGGGAGACUAUGAAGUUUCGCCGCUAGGCGGGAUGGAGUCGACGUUGAAAUACCACCCUUUUUAUAUUUAGGUUCUAAUCCCGUACCAACGGGAGACAGUGUGUGGUGGGUAGUUUGACUGGGGUGGUCGCCUCCUAAAGAGUAACGGAGGCUUGCAAAGGUACCCUCAGCAUGGUCGGUAAUCAUGCUUAGAGCGCAUUAGUACAAGGGUGCUUGACUGAGAGAUCGACGGAUCGAACAGGAACGAAAGUUGGCUAAAGUGAUCCGGUGGUUCCGCAUGGAAGGGCCAUCGCUCAAAGGAUAAAAGGUACGCCGGGGAUAACAGGCUGAUCUCCCCCAAGAGCUCAUAUCGACGGGGAGGUUUGGCACCUCGAUGUCGGUUCGUCACAUCCUGGGGCUGGAGAAGGUCCCAAGGGUUCGGCUGUUCGCCGAUUAAAGUGGCACGUGAACUGGGUUCAGAACGUCGCAAGACAGUUCGGUCUCUAUCUGUGGUGGGCGUUGUAACAUUGAAAGGAGCUGACUCUAGUACGAGAGGACCGAGUCGGACGUACCGCUAGUGUAUCUGUUGUGCCGCCAGGUGCAGCGCAGAGUAGCUAUGUACGGACUAGAUAAGCGCUGAAAGCAUCUAAGCGCGAAGCUAUCCUUAAGAUGAGUGUUACUUGGGGUCGUAGAAGACGACUACGUUGAUAGGCUACAGGUGGAAUCGUAGUAAUACGUUGAGCCGAGUAGUACUAAUUACCCCGUAACUUCCUUUU
Molecule: ribosomal RNA, 2026 nt
Filed under: Saprospiraceae bacterium
Lineage: Bacteria; Pseudomonadati; Bacteroidota; Saprospiria; Saprospirales; Saprospiraceae
Description: partial 23S ribosomal RNA
Rfam family: Bacterial large subunit ribosomal RNA
Source: RNAcentral